GAUGAACGCUGGCGGCGUGCUUAACACAUGCAAGUCGAACGGUGAAGGCGGAGCUUGCUCUGCUGGAUCAGUGGCGAACGGGUGAGUAACACGUGAGCAAUCUGCCCCUGACUCUGGGAUAAGCGCUGGAAACGGCGUCUAAUACUGGAUACGAGCUGCGAAGGCAUCUUCAGCAGCUGGAAAGAACUUCGGUCAGGGAUGAGCUCGCGGCCUAUCAGCUUGUUGGUGAGGUAACGGCUCACCAAGGCGUCGACGGGUAGCCGGCCUGAGAGGGUGACCGGCCACACUGGGACUGAGACACGGCCCAGACUCCUACGGGAGGCAGCAGUAGGGAAUAUUGCACAAUGGGCGAGAGCCUGAUGCAGCAACGCCGCGUGAGGGACGACGGCCUUCGGGUUGUAAACCUCUUUUAGCAGGGAAGAAGCGAAAGUGACGGUACCUGCAGAAAAAGCGCCGGCUAACUACGUG
Molecule: ribosomal RNA, 468 nt
Filed under: uncultured bacterium
Lineage: Bacteria
Description: partial 16S ribosomal RNA
Rfam family: Bacterial small subunit ribosomal RNA
Source: RNAcentral